RNAcentral lists this ribosomal RNA (253 nucleotides) under uncultured bacterium. RNAcentral's name for it is "partial 16S ribosomal RNA". It matches the Rfam family "Bacterial small subunit ribosomal RNA", at positions 524 to 776 of the family's 1533-position model. The record is from RNAcentral.
UACGUAGGGGGCAAGCGUUAUCCGGAUUUACUGGGUGUAAAGGGAGCGUAGACGGUGAUGUAAGUCAGAUGUGAAAGCCCGGGGCUCAACUCCGGGACUGCAUUUGAAACUAUGUUGCUGGAGUGCAGGAGAGGUAAGUGGAAUUCCUAGUGUAGCGGUGAAAUGCGUAGAUAUUAGGAGGAACACCAGUGGCGAAGGCGGCUUACUGGACUGUAACUGACGUUGAGGCUCGAAAGCGUGGGGAGCAAACAGG